This 452-nucleotide ribosomal RNA is filed under the name uncultured bacterium. RNAcentral describes it as "bacterial SSU rRNA". It matches the Rfam family "Bacterial small subunit ribosomal RNA", at positions 335 to 780 of the family's 1533-position model. The record is from RNAcentral.
ACUCCUACGGGAGGCAGCAGUAGGGAAUCUUCCACAAUGGGCGAAAGCCUGAUGGAGCAACGCCGCGUGGGUGAAGAAGGUCUUCGGAUCGUAAAACCCUGUUGUUAGAGAAGAAAGUGCGUGAGAGUAACUGUUCACGUUUCGACGGUAUCUAACCAGAAAGCCACGGCUAACUACGUGCCAGCAGCCGCGGUAAUACGUAGGUGGCAAGCGUUAUCCGGAUUUAUUGGGCGUAAAGGGAACGCAGGCGGUCUUUUAAGUCUGAUGUGAAAGCCUUCGGCUUAACCGGAGUAGUGCAUUGGAAACUGGGAGACUUGAGUGCAGAAGAGGAGAGUGGAACUCCAUGUGUAGCGGUGAAAUGCGUAGAUAUAUGGAAGAACACCAGUGGCGAAAGCGGCUCUCUGGUCUGUAACUGACGCUGAGGUUCGAAAGCGUGGUAGCAAACAGGAUUA